This 892-nucleotide ribosomal RNA is filed under the name uncultured bacterium. RNAcentral describes it as "bacterial SSU rRNA". It matches the Rfam family "Bacterial small subunit ribosomal RNA", at positions 21 to 895 of the family's 1533-position model. The record is from RNAcentral.
GGCUCAGAACGAACGCUGGCGGCGGGGCUUAGGCAUGCAAGUCGAGCGAGAAAGUCUUCGGACGAGUAAAGCGGCGUAAGGGUGAGUAAUAGUUAGUCAACAUACCAUACAGACACGGAUAAUUCGCCGAAAGGUGUUGUAAUACGUGAUGAGACCACGGGGUGUACGCACUUAGGGGUCAAAAGUCGGGGAUCCUUCGGGACCUGGCGCUGUUUGAGUGGACUAGCUCUGAUUAGCUAGUUGGCGGUGUAACGGACCACCAAGGCGAUGAUCAGUAGCCGGGCUGAGAGGCUGUCCGGCCACACGGGCACUGAGACACUGGCCCGACUCCUACGGGAGGCUGCAGUCGCGAAUUUUUCACAAUGGACGCAAGUCUGAUGAAGCCACGCCGCGUGCGGGAUGAAGGCCCUCUGGGUUGUAAACCGCUGUCAGGGAAGGGGAAACGCCCGGUGUUAACAGCAUCGUGUUUGACUGCUUUCCAAAGGAAGCCCCGGCAAAACAUGUGCCAGCAGCCGCGGUAAUACAUGUGGGGCAAGCGUUGUUCGGAAUCACUGGGCAUAAAGGGUGCGUAGGUGGUAUGAUAAGUCACGGGUGAAAGUCUGCGGCCCAACCGUAGAAUUGCCUGUGAUACUGUCGUACUUGAGUGCGUGAGGGGUAACCGGAACGAGCAGUGUAGCGGUGAAAUGCGUAGAUAUUGCUCGGAAGGCCAAAGGCGAAGGCAGGUUACUGGUGCGCAACUGACACUGAGGCACGAAAGCGUGGGGAGCAAACAGGAUUAGAUACCCUGGUAGUCCACGCCGUAAACGAUGAGCACUAGGUGGGUGGUGAGCUAUCGCUGCCUGCCGGAGGCAAUUUGGUAAGUGCUCCGCCUGGGGAGUAUGGUCGCAAGGCU